AGGUGGAUGCGUCACUGGUGGGCGCCCCGGUCUUCAAAACCGUGCGUGCGGCACUAAUCCUGUCGCAGGUGGGUUCGAUUCCCACACACUUCC
RNAcentral lists this transfer RNA (93 nucleotides) under marine eukaryotic metagenome. RNAcentral's name for it is "Selenocysteine transfer RNA". It matches the Rfam family "Selenocysteine transfer RNA". The record is from RNAcentral.